RNAcentral lists this ribosomal RNA (329 nucleotides) under Alteromonas sp. RNAcentral's name for it is "bacterial SSU rRNA". It matches the Rfam family "Bacterial small subunit ribosomal RNA", at positions 98 to 436 of the family's 1533-position model. The record is from RNAcentral. Lineage: Bacteria; Pseudomonadati; Pseudomonadota; Gammaproteobacteria; Alteromonadales; Alteromonadaceae.
GCGGACGGGUGAGUAAUGCUUGGGAACUUGCCUUUGCGAGGGGGAUAACAGUUGGAAACGACUGCUAAUACCGCAUAAUGUCUUCGGACCAAACGGGGCUUCGGCUCCGGCGCAAAGAGAGGCCCAAGUGAGAUUAGCUAGUUGGUAAGGUAACGGCUUACCAAGGCGACGAUCUCUAGCUGUUCUGAGAGGAAGAUCAGCCACACUGGGACUGAGACACGGCCCAGACUCCUACGGGAGGCAGCAGUGGGGAAUAUUGCACAAUGGGGGAAACCCUGAUGCAGCCAUGCCGCGUGUGUGAAGAAGGCCUUCGGGUUGUAAAGCACUUU